RNAcentral lists this ribosomal RNA (889 nucleotides) under Coniochaeta sp. RNAcentral's name for it is "partial large subunit ribosomal RNA". It matches the Rfam family "Eukaryotic large subunit ribosomal RNA", at positions 38 to 961 of the family's 3401-position model. The record is from RNAcentral. Lineage: Eukaryota; Fungi; Ascomycota; Sordariomycetes; Coniochaetales; Coniochaetaceae.
ACAUAUCAAUAAGCGGAGGAAAAGAAACCAACAGGGAUUGCCCUAGUAACGGCGAGUGAAGCGGCAACAGCUCAAAUUUGAAAUCUGGCUUCGGCCCGAGUUGUAAUUUGUAGAGGAUGCUUUUGGUGAGGUGCCUUCUGAGUUCCCUGGAACGGGACGCCAGAGAGGGUGAGAGCCCCGUAUAGUCGGCCACCGAUCCUCUGUAAAGCUCCUUCGACGAGUCGAGUAGUUUGGGAAUGCUGCUCAAAAUGGGAGGUAUAUCCCUUCUAAAGCUAAAUAUUGGCCAGAGACCGAUAGCGCACAAGUAGAGUGAUCGAAAGAUGAAAAGCACUUUGAAAAGAGGGUUAAAUAGCACGUGAAAUUGUUGAAAGGGAAGCGCUUGUGACCAGACUUGUGCCGGGCUGAUCAUCCAGUGUUCUCACUGGUGCACUCGACCCGGCUCAGGCCAGCGUCGGUUCUCGCGGGGGGAUAAAAGCUUCGGGAACGUGGCACCUCCGGGUGUGUUAUAGCCCGCUGCUUAAUAUCCUCGCGGGGACCGAGGUUCGCGCUCUGCAAGGACGCUGGCAUAAUGGUCAUCAGCGACCCGUCUUGAAACACGGACCAAGGAGUCGAGGUUUUGCGCGAGUGUUUGGGUGUAAAACCCGCACGCGUAAUGAAAGUGAACGUAGGUGAGAGCUUCGGCGCAUCAUCGACCGAUCCUGAUGUAUUCGGAUGGAUUUGAGUAAGAGCGUAAAGCCUCGGACCCGAAAGAUGGUGAACUAUGCCUGAAUAGGGUGAAGCCAGAGGAAACUCUGGUGGAGGCUCGCAGCGGUUCUGACGUGCAAAUCGAUCGUCAAAUUUGGGCAUGGGGGCGAAAGACUAAUCGAACCAUCUAGUAGCUGGUUACCGC